GUUCUUCCUUCUCUGCAUGAAAUUGGACAUCUGUUGACAGCUGGGUGAAAUUUCUUUGACAGGAAAUUUUUUGUCAGGAGGGGGAAGUAAUCAAAUUUGGCAGCCAUGGAAUAUUUUAACAAGUUUGCAUUGGUUUCUCUAAGGAGCUUGUCUUGCACAAAUUUCAUAAAAAGCAGUCAUAUUUGUGUUGUACUUUGUAAUGUAAAAAUUAUAUCUUGGCAUCAUGAUGAGCGCUAUUAUAGUGUCAUGGAAGUGCACAUGGCCAAUAUAUAUCUAAUGGAGAGGAGUCUCAGAGACUUUAAAAUUAGUUUAGUUUAGUUUAGUUUAGAUUUAAAAAAAAAAAAACAAAAAACCCUCAUCUCUUACUGCUUUCAUCUCCUCAAAAAAAGUAAAUGAAAAAGAAAGCUUUCAUAUCAUAAUUCUAAUUUCAAAUUCUCUACUGUUUGUCAGUCAGAGAAGCUGAUCUACAAACAUCCUUCUUACUGAGGGAUACUGGCUCUGCUGUACUUUUCCGUUCUAGAUCACAACACCAGUAGGAUACACAGAGAUGCUUUGGUGUAAAACCAGCCAAAGGCACGUGCACAUACGGAUAUGUACACUGAUACUAAUCAGCUUCCAAAGAUGGCAGUAAAAGAUCAGCUCCAACAGUGGACAGAUGUUUCCUGCUUCAGUGCUACACAUAUUGCAGCAUAUGUACCAGAAUAUGCAGGAACAAGUGAUACAAGACUCCCCACCUUUUACCAAUCACUGUCUGCAAACAUUAUGAUGAAAAUUUGUAGCCAUUUUCCCAUCUUAGAGUGUUCUUCAUGAUAGUUAGCAUAGCAGAGAUAUUAUGGAGGCACUGGAUGCAUCGGUCUAAUACUUUUAAGAAACAAACUUUGCAGAAUGUUAUUGAUUAAAAUGCUCUUGAUGAAAUGAUGACAAUACCACCUCUUUUUUUUUUUUUUUAUCUUAAGGACAAAAAAAAAAAA
Molecule: long non-coding RNA, 971 nt
Filed under: Numida meleagris (helmeted guineafowl)
Lineage: Eukaryota; Metazoa; Chordata; Aves; Galliformes; Numididae
Description: lncRNA (ENSNMEG00000001124.1)
Source: RNAcentral